GUAGCAGCAGCUCCAACUCUUUAUAGGCUGCAAUUAAGGCCAGAAAGUUUUGCAGUUUCUGCAUGUUCUGAUGUCACUGCACAUCCCUUGGAGAGGCAUACAGCAAAGAGGCAGGGAAGAUACAUGGCAAUGGAAUUAUCUUUCGAAUAAUUGGAAGGCUUUUCCCUUCUGGACCCAAAGGCUUUUUCUCCUGUUACCAGUGGUGGCAAGAAAACCCAGGCUGAAGCUCCUGUUUUACUUGACACAGGACCUAAGAUUUCUGGAAGUGAGUGGGAAAAACAAGAGGAAAAGUCUUUGGCUUUUUUAUCCAUGA
RNAcentral lists this long non-coding RNA (313 nucleotides) under Parus major (Great Tit). Its description in RNAcentral is "lncRNA (ENSPMJG00000011398.1)". The record is from RNAcentral. Lineage: Eukaryota; Metazoa; Chordata; Aves; Passeriformes; Paridae.